GGCCCCCUGCCGCUUCUCUGCCGCAGCCUCUGUAUUCUUGAGACAGUGAGAGCAGCUGAAUUUUUGAGCCCCCCCCUCCUCCUCCUCUCUUCUUGCCGCACGCAGGCGAAACGCGCACACUCAGACGCAUUCCCGACUUCGGCUCAUGUGUGCGCGUGCGUUUUAUGCACUGCCCUGUCAUCAAGUGCCACAGCUCACGCGAUACGACGCUCCGGGCGUCAGGGCCAAACUCUCCACGAAAAAUAGCUAGGAACGUGGUGGUACGCCGGAAGCAAGGAAACGCAAAGAACUUCAAUGCCCCGAAAUCACUGCCGCGUUCCCUUGGAGCAGCAGUCCAGCGUGUCUGCAGCAUCGCAGACGACUCCGGCGCCAGCUAGCGACGCUCACGAGAACACGCGGGAAGUGGCGCCGAUGCCGUCUAUCAGGGCACUUGCAGCGAGAGCGAAGCAUCGCGGGCGCGGACGUCCGCGAAUCUACCCUAGAAAGACGUCCUCCGUGCACUCUCUCCACCCUCACUUUGCGCCGGCCGAGCCAGGGAGUGGCGAUCACGAUGAUGCCCUGACAGCGGCCGCGUUGCCUCCCGCUGUAUCCAACCAAACUUCCAUUACAGCGGCGAGCCAGCACGAAGUCACACAGAGUGCCGAUACUUUCGGAUCAGGGGCGGUGGCUUCGGCCGAGCUACCCUUGCCGCUGCCGCUAUCGCCUCAGGGCGUCCCAUUCUCGUCUAGUCGCAUUACCAGCGCUUCGUCCCUCGCUACGGCGAUCCCAGCCGACGCCGCGCAGGGGGGCGAGGAAACGGCGACCUUCUCCUCUCGCCCACCUUUACACUCGUCCACGCGGAGCAAAGCUGCUGUGCCGACAGGCGUUGCGGCAGACGAGGCCGACCGUGCGACGCUCGGCGCCCAGCCGCUCUUGCCCUCCAUGGCAGCCUGUAUGGCGGCGUGCUUCGGGUGGCGGCUCAAGAGGUGCAGCGUCAGCGAGGAGGCUCAGAUAACGUUUGUCCUGCAACAUCGGGCGAUACCGGUGGUGCGCGUGACGAUCGAGAGCGCUGGAGGUGCAUUCGCGCAGGCAUGUGGCGCUUCGAAUGAGACCGACGCUGGUGCGGUUCGUGUCAACGGCACUCCUAUGAGCCUCCCGCAGUGUGCAGCGUAUCUACAGGAGCUGACGCACGCGCUUUUCACUCUGUCGGACACGACGCGGUCUGCACCGCUGAAAGAUCGCGCGCCGGCCGCAGAGGAAGGGGAUAGUAAAGGGGAAGAGGAUGGAAAUUCGGUAUCGUCGCCCACCGUGCAGGCACCGCCUCUUUUGUCGCCGAGCGAGCAGGCGAAGGCCACCGAGAGGCGGGCCAGGAAGCGGGCGCGCAGUCGCUCACCCUUGCGGCACACAGACUCGACCGCUUCAGUGUCUCGCACAACUGAACUUCUUUCCUGCGCCACCGUGCCGAGCCUCACAGAGGGGCCUGCAGGUGCUGGAGGGGACGGCGAGGAGGCGAGCAAGAAGGUGUCACAGCCACAUCCUCCACCCUUGAACUCUUCCGACGUUACCCUGUCCCCGGCACCGCCAACACGACCGCCUCCUGUUUCUCUGGCCGCUGCCGACGUCAAGGUCGAAGCUGAGUCGUCACUGCUUGCGACGACUCCACCGAGAACAAGCGAGCAGGAGAACGACGUAGACACGCAGCCCUUGAGUGCACUGUCGACACUGGUUGCGACGAUGGAAGCUGGUGAGUCGUCGACGCCGCUUCCACGGGCUCCUCCUGCCCCGCGCACCAACACUGGCAAGCCCAGCGUGGCGUCAAGGCGGGCUGUGUCCUUGGCGGACAAGGGUGCCGCGACAAGAGAGUCGCCAACGUCUUCCACUGUCUUCGCUUCCCCAACCAUGCGACAGCGGCGCACUCUCGCUCCCGCCGCGGCCGCGGCCGCGGUCGCUGCGGGGCCGGCAUCAGCCAUCACAGGCGAGCAUCACGCCCCGCUGGCUUCUCUGACACCACCCCACGCAGGGCUCCGAACAGCAACCUUUACGAUGCCGCUUGCCUUCCAUCACACGUCUGCAUCCCCCCUCGCUGCGGGCGCUGCACCGGAGGAGUUCGAUGUGACCAGCUGCAAUACCGGCAGUAACGGUGGCCACCAAAGCGUCUGGUGCGACUCGGCUGGUUGGUCCACGGACUCAUCGCAACUCUGGUUGGCCCACACACACGCCGCCAGUCGUGCGUUCCAGUGCAUGCCUGUCCCCCGCUGUCGUGUGCCAGCGACCACGAAGGUCACCCAGCCACUCGGCGGCGAAGGUGCCGAAGGACAUGGAACCAGCACAGCCACACCUGCGUCCUCGACGGUGCCGCUGAUGGAUUCGGCAGCCGCAGCAGCUCUCGUGCGGAUGACGCUGCUCUGGCGAUGGCGCGAGCGCUCGUCGAUGUGGACGGCGAUGGAGGACUCGCUGCGUAUGGCUGUCGGUUCAGGCCAUCUUCGCGGCGACGCCCUCGAGGCCGGCGUGCAGGCGCUGCAAGCAAGCGAGGAGGAGCAACGCCGAUACGAGGGAGUGGGCGCCGACGCCGGUGAGGGCGGCAGCGACCUAGGACCCUCGUGCGGCAGGACCGCACUGGAUGUGGGCCAGGUAGGCCAUGGAGCGGAGCGGCAGCAGACUCGGUCUUUUCCAGCCUGUCCGCCGCGGGCUCUGCUGCCGGUGUCGGGCAGGGCCGUCGUCGAGGCACAGCACCGUAUCACAGACUCCGAGGAGGAGAGAGGCGGGGAAGAGGGUGCACAUGGGCCACGCUACGUCGCAUGCGCUGGUGGCAUUCCCUCUGCUGACCGUAUUGUGAUUGACCACACCUAUUCCACUCGCGGCUCGUACGUGAUGGCAUCACCCGUGACGACAGAAGGGACAACAGCAACGCCGUGCCGCCUCUUGGCUCUGCAACGGAAUCCGCAGGAGGACCUGCACUACCAUGUGUACAAGCGCUUCAUGCCCGCCGACAUGCGCUUGGCAAUGGAAGCUGAAGAGACGCUGACGGUAGGGGCAGGCGACAUGGCUCCACUGCACGGGGCCAGCGCUGAGUUGUCGCCCGCCUACAAGCUGCGUCGAGAACAGAGCGGCGGCGAAGGCGACGACAACGAGGAUGACGAGGAGAGGGAUGACGGAGCUGACGACGCCGACGAGAAGAAAGCAUGCGACUCGUUCCAUGCCUCUCAGGCAGCACCGAGGGCUCCGGCAGCGACAACCAUGAUAGACGCAAGUGGGGGCGACCCAUUCACUGACAUGGACUACGUUCUUCGGCAUCGCCCAUCGAUUCGGCGCAUUCCAAUGCCGGAUGUGGAGUCUCGAUACGGGCCGUGAGGAUAAAGGCGUGGCAAGUGAGACGAAGGGAGACGCGUUCACAGACAGCCCUUUUUUUCGGCUAGACACGGCGCGCACUCAGCUGCCGUGUGAUGCUCUCCAGGCCGCCAUCGUCCGUGCCGUAUUACUGCGCGUCCACAAAUGCAGAGAGUAACCAAGGUUUUUUUUUAUUCAGCGUGCCCAUUUCUCUGCCAGAGAGCAAGACGUCAACUCCGCUCAAGUACCCCGGCAUGUGGCAGGCCCCUCUGCGUGGUGCGAUGCAGGCGUAGACACACGUGCUGCAGCAAUGUGCCGGCUCAGCCACCUGAGCGCGACCCCUGCCCCAAACUCUACACACCCACCUGCUUCGCCAGCCGCCGCCGGGUCCCGCCCUCUCGGGGGGACACACUCAGGCUCCCCACCAGCCGGCAGCGAGAGGCCGGGUGGGAUACGCUCACGUCACGCGGACCCUCUGCCUCAGCAUACGGAUGGCACAGUCCUGCCCACUGUCGCGGGCCGCUCCGACGCCACCUCAUCCACGGCCUGACCGCCCACAUCCGCAGCGGUGCAUCGCUCUGUCCACCCCUACGCCGUAGGUGCGUGACCCUGCCACCACAAGAAGUGGUUUGGCAUUGGCAGGGGUAUAUGGCAGGGAUAGGGGGGCUGCUUGGCUUCCUCGCACGCCGUGUGGGGGGCUCUUGAACCCCGAGAUACCACACUGAGGUGUAACCCCGUCAUUACGAACCAAGAAGAAGCUCAG
Molecule: unclassified non-coding RNA, 4069 nt
Filed under: Leishmania donovani
Lineage: Eukaryota; Euglenozoa; Kinetoplastea; Trypanosomatida; Trypanosomatidae
Description: gene:LdHU3.36.5570(CDS-product:hypothetical_prote in_conserved)
Source: RNAcentral